Molecule: ribosomal RNA, 285 nt
Filed under: uncultured prokaryote
Description: partial 16S ribosomal RNA
Rfam family: Bacterial small subunit ribosomal RNA
Source: RNAcentral
UACGUAGGGGGCUAGCGUUAUCCGGAAUUACUGGGCGUAAAGGGUGCGUAGGUGGUUUCUUAAGUCAGAGGUGAAAGGCUACGGCUCAACCGUAGUAAGCCUUUGAAACUGGGAAACUUGAGUUCAGGAGAGGAGAGUGGAAUUCCUAGUGUAGCGGUGAAAUGCGUAGAUAUUAGGAGGAACACCAGUUGCGAAGGCGGCUCUCUGGACUGUAACUGACACUGAGGCACGAAAGCGUGGGGAGCAAACAGGAUUAGAUACCCGGGUAGUCCCUGAGCGGGCUGG